CCGCCGUAUACCCAAGGUUUCCUGGGCCAGGUUCGUCCUCCCAGGGUUAGUCGGGACCUAAGGCGAGGCCGUAAGGCGUAGUCGAUGGACAGCAGUUCAAUAUUCCUGCACCGGCUUGAGGUUAGUUGACAGUGACGCGGUGAGAAAAGUGGCUAAGUCAUCGAAAGACAGAGCUUAGACUUCGGUCGAAGCGUACCACUGGACGAUCCGCCGAGAAAAGCUAGUUAACAUGUGCCUCUUGUCGCCCGUACCGUAAACCGACACAGGUGGGUGAGUCGAGUAGACUAAGGCGCGCGAGAGAAACCACUCUAAGGAACUCGGCAAAAUAGCCCCGUAACUUCGGGAGAAGGGGUGCCUACUUCGGUAGGCCACAGUAAAUUGGGUCUGGCGACUGUUUAACAAAAACACAGCACUCUGCUAAGUCGUGAAGACGACGUAUAGGGUGUGACACGUGACCAAUGCCGAAAGAUUAAGGUGACUUGUUAGCCGUAAGGCGAAGCUCGGAGCUGAAGUCCCGGUGAAUGUCGGCCGUAACUAUAACGGUCCUAAGGUAGCGAAAUUCCUUGUCGGGUAAGUUCCGACCUGCACGAAUCGUGUAACGACCGGACCGCUGUCUCGGAGUGGUUCUCGGCGAAAUUGUAGUGGCGGUGAAGAUGCCGCCUGCCCGCAGUAGGACGGAAAGACCCUAUGCACCUUUACUAUAAGCUGGUAUUGGGUUCUGGUCUUUGAUGCGUAGCAUAGGUGGGAGACGUUGAAUUGGCGGUUUCGGUCGUCAAGGAGUCAUCAGUGAAAUACCACUCUUUAAUGAUUAGGAUUCUAACCCCAACCCUGUUAGCCAGGUGGGGGACAGUGCCUGCGGGUUAGUUUGACUGGGGCGGUUUCCUCCUAAAAAGUAACGGAGGAGCGCGAAGGUACUCUCAGCACGGUUGGCAACCGUGCGUCGAGCGUAUGGGUAUAAGAGUGCUUAACUGUGAGACCUACAAGUCGAGCAGAUGCGAAAGCAGGCCCAAGUGAUCCGAUGGUUGAAUGUGGAAUUGCCAUCGCUCAACGGACAAAAGGUACGCUAGGGAUAACAGGCUGAUCGCGCCCAAGAGUUCAUAUCGACGGCGCGGUUUGGCACCUCGAUGUCGGCUCAUCGCAUCCUGGGGCUGGAGAAGGUCCCAAGGGUCCGGCUGUUCGCCGGUUAAAGCGGUACGCGAGCUGGGUUCAGAACGUCGUGAGACAGUUCGGUCCUUAUCCACUGUGGGCGUAGGAAACUUGAGGGGUUCAUUCUCUAGUACGAGAGGACCGAGAAUGACGCACUUCUGGUGUGGCAGUUGUUCCGUCAGGGGCAGCGCUGCGUAGCCAAGUGCGGAAGAGAUAAGCGCUGAAAGCAUCUAAGUGCCAAGCUCCUCCCAAGAUAAGGUUUCCCGGACGCAAGUCCCUUAAGACCCCCGGAAGACUACCGGGUUGAUAGGUCAGGCGUGUAAGCGUGGCAACAUGUUUAGCGGACUGAUACUAAUCGGUCGUGAGGCUUGAUCGC
RNAcentral lists this ribosomal RNA (1522 nucleotides) under Verrucomicrobiota bacterium. Its description in RNAcentral is "Verrucomicrobia bacterium partial 23S ribosomal RNA". It matches the Rfam family "Bacterial large subunit ribosomal RNA", at positions 1334 to 2925 of the family's 2925-position model. The record is from RNAcentral. Lineage: Bacteria; Pseudomonadati; Verrucomicrobiota.